AGGACGAACGCUGGCGGCGUGCUUAACACAUGCAAGUCGAGCGGAAAGGCCCUUCGGGGUACUCGAGCGGCGAACGGGUGAGUAACACGUGAGCAACCUGCCCUUAGCUCUGGGAUAGCUCCGGGAAACCGGAAUUAAUACCGGAUAUGACCUAGGCCGACAUCGGCCGUGGUGGAAAGUUUUUCGGCUAGGGAUGGACUCGCGGCCUAUCAGCUAGUUGGUGGGGUAAUGGCCUACCAAGGCGACGACGGGUAGCCGGCCUGAGAGGGCGACCGGCCACACUGGGACUGAGACACGGCCCAGACUCCUACGGGAGGCAGCAGUGGGAAUCUUGCGCAAUGGGCGAAAGCCUGACGCAGCGACGCCGCGUGGGGGAUGAAGGCCUUCGGGUUGUAAACCCCGUUUCAGCAGGGACGAAGCGAAAGUGACGGUACCUGCAGAAGAAGCGCCGGCUAACUACGUGCCAGCAGCCGC
Molecule: ribosomal RNA, 474 nt
Filed under: uncultured bacterium
Lineage: Bacteria
Description: SSU rRNA
Rfam family: Bacterial small subunit ribosomal RNA
Source: RNAcentral